GAGUCCAGAGAGAUUCCUGUAGCGAGU
RNAcentral lists this non-coding RNA (27 nucleotides) under Homo sapiens (human). Lineage: Eukaryota; Metazoa; Chordata; Mammalia; Primates; Hominidae. The record is from RNAcentral.